UACGUAGGGGGCUAGCGUUGUCCGGAAUCAUUGGGCGUAAAGAGCGUGUAGGCGGCUCGGUAAGUCCGCUGUAAAAGUCAAAGGCUCAACCUUUGAAUGUCAGUGGAUACUGCCGGGCCAGAGUCCGGAAGAGGCGAGUGGAACUCCUGGUGUAGCGGUGGAAUGCGCAGAUAUCAGGAGGAACACCAAUGGCGAAGGCAGCUCGCUGGGACGUGACUGACGCUGAGACGCGAAAGCGUGGGGAGCAAACAGG
RNAcentral lists this ribosomal RNA (253 nucleotides) under uncultured bacterium. RNAcentral's name for it is "partial 16S ribosomal RNA". It matches the Rfam family "Bacterial small subunit ribosomal RNA", at positions 524 to 776 of the family's 1533-position model. The record is from RNAcentral.